GAUGAACGCUGGCGGCGUGCCUAAUACAUGCAAGUCGAACGCUGGAAAUCUAGCUUGCUAGAUUGAAGGAGUGGCGAACGGGUGAGUAAUACAUAAGCAACCUACCCACGAAGACUGGGAUAAUCUCUGGAAACGGGGACUAAUACCGGAUAGGUAAUCGGAAGGCAUCUUCUGAUUAUUAAAGGUUAAAAACACUGGUGGAUGGGCUUAUGGCGCAUUAGUUAGUUGGUGAGGUAACGGCCCACCAAGACGAUGAUGCGUAGCCGGCCUGAGAGGGUGAACGGCGACAUUGGGACUGAGACACGGCCCAGACGCCUACGGGAGGCAGCAGUAGGGAAUUGUCGGCAAUGGGGGAAACCCUGACCGAGCAACGCCGCGUGAGUGAUGACGGCCUUCGGGGUGUAAAGCUCUGUUGUAAGGGAAGAACGGUAGAUAGAGAAGAUCUAAAUGACGGUACCUGACCAGAAAGCCACGGCUAACUACGUG
Molecule: ribosomal RNA, 486 nt
Filed under: uncultured bacterium
Lineage: Bacteria
Description: partial 16S ribosomal RNA
Rfam family: Bacterial small subunit ribosomal RNA
Source: RNAcentral